CCGAGCCGCCGGCCGGCCCGAGCAUGAUCCGCCCAUUUCUUCGGAGCUGCCCUAAUAGAAGUUAAGUGAGAGGCGGUUCAGAGAGGGAGGAAGGCAGGAGAAAUGAUCGCAGCUCUGGGGCCUGGUUACAUUACUCAUCUUUUAUGGUGUUGCACGUAGCAAGGUUAUGACUAACAAAGGAUCAUCUUGUAAAGGGGCCUGACUGGAGUCUUGUUUUUUAGUUUUCUACAACUAGCAAAAUAGAUGUAAAACCUCUUGGCAAGUAAAUAGUAGAUGUCUUUGGUUGUUGCUUCACUCUUAAUGGUAAAUUCUGAAGAUGAGAAUUUUGAAAUAAAACACUCCAGUUUUGCGGGGUUCUUUGAAAUCCAAACCCACAUUUGAAUAUAGUAGGAUCUGUGUCUAUAAUGGACCAAUCUAGAACCCCAGUUGCUAAGUCCUGAUCCUGCAAAUACUGAAGCUUGUGCACAACUUGACUCAUCUAUGAAGUCCAACUGUCUUCAGCAGAACUACUCACGGAAGUAGUGUUAUGCAUGCACUUAAAAUUUUGCAGAAUUAAGAUUGUAUACUCUUUUGGGAGCAGAGAUGUGGGAUAUGUUGACCAGAGAGUAGAAGAGCUAUUAGAGAUGGGACAAAGACCACAAGGAAGACCCCGAAAAAGGUGGUUUGAGAUGCUGAAGAAAGAUAUGAAGAAGGUUGGUGUCAGCUUGGAAGACACACUUGACAAAAAUAUUUGGAAACAAAGUACAAGAGCUGCCAACCCCAACUGAUGGGAGAAGACAAAGGUGAAGAGACUCUUUGGGGCAGGGACUGUUUCUUACUAAUGAUGUGUUUGUACGGUGCCUAACGCAAUGGAGCCCUGACAUGCGUUGGGGCUUCUAGGUGCUAAUACAAUAAUCAUUGAUAUAAUUAAUUAUCAGAAACAAAUUUGGCACCGUGCCAUAGGCUUCAUAUAACUAGUGAUUAUUGCUGAGAGUUUCUCAGUUGCUUUGAUUUGAGGGCAUUUCCUUCCAAAAAUAAUGUAUCUAUGUCAAGUUUUAAUGGUAAACUCAAGAAUGUCCCCUUAAAAUUGAUGUUUUAAACAUGAGAAAGAUUACCAAAAUAUUACCACUAAACUUGUGUAAAUAAAUAGAUCCAUGGAGAGGUAAACACAUAAAUAUGUAGGUACCCUGUGCUAAACAUGGAUUCCUGGGAUGUACCUCACCUCUGUAGCACUCCUUUCACUGCCUGUGAGUUGUUUGUGGAAGAAUAACCGGGGCAGCUGUCCCCAUGCUCCUGUGUUUGUAAUAUGGAUGAACUAUCAUACUCUUCAGCCAGAGACCUAUAAUUAAACAGUAUGUACAAUGAAGAAAUUAUCGACUGUACUACAGCAACAAUUCAUAAAUAGUGGUUCCCAGGCAUGAUUUACUUAUGUGUUUUAUCUCUAAACCUUAAAGUUGCAUUCACAUUAUUUUUUGGUAUGGACUUUUGUUAUUUGUUAAGCAUUGAGAGUGUCCUGGGAACUCUACAAAACACAGAAGAACUUUCCGUAUCUGUCCCCACAUAGUCCCUGAUCCUGCAGAAAUGUACAAAUCUAAGACCCCAACCUUGGAAAGUCAGUGGGAUUACCCACAUGUGUAAAGUUAAGUGUACGCAAAAUCUUUGCAGGGUUAAGGAUUAAAGAAAAUGUACCCCUGUAUCAGUGUACAUUACUUGGUUAUAGGAUGUUCCCAUGCAAUCCAUGGUGCAUUCUUUAGUGAACUAGAAAGUGGAUUUCAUAGCAGAGGGAAUAGCAGUUUUACCAAAUUAAGUUAACAUGUCUGUUGAAUGUCUGUUGAAUGCUACAGCCUGUUAAUGGCAGCUCUGAGCACACAUUUCUGGCGUUAGCACACUUUUUUCAUUUAACUUUAAAAUUCACCUGUUUUGUGAACCAAUUUUUUAAACCAGCCUCCAAAAUUGCAGAUACACCAGAGGUGCAUUGUACUUGCAAAUUGUCUAAUUAGAUAUUCCUCAAGCAAAACUUGUAAGCACAAUCUUGUGCUGAACACCUGUAACUCCCAUUGAAAUCAAUAGAACUUUCUGCAGGUGCUCAUCAGGCCACUUUUAUUUGUCUAAACUUAGAUGCCUGACUUUAGACACCCAGGUUUGAAAAAUGUGACCAUAGUGACCAGUCUGUAAACAAGCCAUAGGCUAUAAUUUGACUUCAGUGGGAGCUCUGGGUGUUCAGCACCUCGGAAAAUCAGAAUACUUUUUAUUUAGAAGCCAAAACAUGGAUUGAGUCGUCUAAAUUUGGCCACAAAAUAUGAAAGUAUUAGCCCCUGAGCAUUCACAACUUGUUAUUCACUUUUGUUUUUGCUAUAUGAUCAAUUAUCUGAGUCACAGGAUAUUAUUUCAGUUCCCUGCUUUGAUGAACUAAGCUUUAGAAACUUGAAAGAAUCCCCUUUUCUGUGUGUAAAAUUUAUCUACAAACAUUUGUAACUGUGUAGUGGUUUUCUGAAAAAAAGUUUUUCUAAAUGGUUUUCCCAGUGUUUAAUGCUCACAAAUAUUUAUUCAGAAUAGUAUUCAUCUUGCUUAGCUUUUAGUGGACUUUCUUGAUAAUAAAAAGUGGCUCAGUUGAACGUCUACAAAUAAUCCGACAAAAAGGGUUGUGAAUGCCAGCAAAGUGGGAUUUACUCACAACUAUAUUUUUUACAGUAUUGUCCCAACUCAAGGCAUGAGCCACUUUGCAGGAUGGUGAAACAUUCAAAUAGUCAUUACCAAGUUAUUUUUUGACUAGCUGAACUCAUUUUUAAGGAAGCCAAAUAAUUUGACUAACAAAUAUAGUCACAUUUUACCUUAUCCUAAUUAAUUACAAUGGGCAGUGUAUCACAGGUAGGUUAAAAGCUAAACUUCUUAUGAAUGGAAGAGAAAAGACAGGGACAGACAUCUGUCUCCUGUCACUCUCAUGCAAACUAAUAAAAAUUAAAAAAUCCCGAGAGCAGAAUUUGACCUACUUAGUAUACUUGACUUACCUCCUGUUUCUAUUCUCCAUCCUUCCUAUGCCCGCAUCAGCAUUCUGUACUGCCAGUUUGGGAACAUUUAUAUAGGAGCGAUGGGUGUUAAUCACACCAACCUUCAUGGUCAGAUUGGUACUCCUUGGUUGAGAAGGGAGGAAUCAUUUCAAAAUGAAAAAAAGUACUUUUAUGGUUCUAUACAAAAAGAAACCCCGGAAUGGCUAACAUCUGCAUGUUACAUGGUCUAGGGCAAAGAGUAGAAAAUUGAUCAUAGAAAUUAGAGAGAUGCAAUUUAAACAUAGAUCUCUUUGCUCUUGAUUCAAUCAUUAUACAUCUGGAAAACAGGAGGUAGAAUCAGGAAAAAGCAACAACCCAGAAUGUCUUCCCAAUAACAGAAAAUGGGACCAUUCAACCAAACAAAAAUAUAAAUGUAAUAAGACACAAUUGUAUGUUUUAAGAAGGUUAAGCAAGGCUGCUUUUCAAUGUAAUUCUAGAUAUAUGGAUGUGAUUUAAAUUUAUUAUGUACAAUUCAAUAAAAAUACAUAGAACACAUUGUCUGUAUUCACAAUACUUGUAUUACAGCAUUAAAAUCUAGCUCUAUGUAAUGUACCUGA
This is a long non-coding RNA of Dermochelys coriacea (leatherback sea turtle), 3583 nucleotides long. RefSeq lists it as uncharacterized. The transcript has 4 exons. Lineage: Eukaryota; Metazoa; Chordata; Testudines; Dermochelyidae. The record is from RefSeq and is a predicted model, not a curated record.